GCGCGAAAACUUUACAAUGCUGGCAACAGCGAUAAGGGAACCUCGAGUGCCAGGUUACAAAUCUGGCUGUCGAGAUGCCUAAAAAGCAUUUCAUAGCAAGGGCCGGGCAAGACCGGUGCCAGCCGCCGCGGUAACACCGGCGGCUCGAGUGGUAACCGUUAUUAUUGGGUCUAAAGGGUCCGUAGCCGGCCGGGUAAGUCUCUUGAGAAAUCUGGCAGCUUAACUGUCAGGCUUUCAGGAGAUACUGUCUGGCUCGAGGCCGGGAGAGGUGAGAGGUACUUCAGGGGUAGGGGUGAAAUCUUGUAAUCCUUGAAGGACCACCAGUGGCGAAGGCGUCUCACCAGAACGGACCUGACGGCAAGGGACGAAAGCUAGGGGCACGAACC
RNAcentral lists this ribosomal RNA (386 nucleotides) under uncultured prokaryote. Its description in RNAcentral is "bacterial SSU rRNA". It matches the Rfam family "Archaeal small subunit ribosomal RNA", at positions 339 to 725 of the family's 1478-position model. The record is from RNAcentral.